ACCAACUAUUUGGAUCACAGCGCCCAUAUAGAGCGACCGACAUGUUCCUGAACUCUAGAAUCGGCUGCGACAAAAAAAAGCCACCCCCACGAGGCAAACAGCUCAACCUAGAACCAACCACUCCCCCGAUCCCCAUCUUCCCUGGAUCCAAUCGCCGCCGGACCUCCGCCUAAGGCGGGACGCCGCCACCGCAUCGCCCACCAGUCCCCUACCACUUCCGCCAUCGCCCACCACCGCAGGCACCGCCCCGACCACCUCCGCCGCUGCCCUCCAUCUCGACCACCCCUGCUACGCGCGUAGCCGAUUCAGCCCAUCGACGGCCUUCCUCCCCUGCUUCCACUGUGGCAGUGGCCUCCUUCUGCCCUCAACCGCUGCAGUCGCAACCUGCUCCAGGGUGCCGCCACCGCCGCGACCAGCCCCAAGACGUCGCCGCCAGAGCGACCUGCCCUAGGGCUCCGCCUCCACGACGAUCUACGUGAUGUUGCUUCGACGCCCGGAGUUGCCCCGCCUCAGGCCGACAUCCCACGCGCGCAGCCACUGGCUAGUGCCAUGGUCGCGCGCCGCUGGCAUCCUCCGUCACACUCGGCACCUCCUGUGCGUUGGAGUGAAGGUCGACUCCUAUGCACUCUGCAGUUCAAUUUCUACUGAUCCGAUAGCUCCUAAAUCCUUCACGCACUUGUAUCCAAAGGUUCCUGCGUGUGUGUUUUGUCCUGCAGAGCAUUUUCUUCAGGACAGUGGAGAGCACCCUCACCCUGAUCCAAUCUGCAGCAGCGCUCGAGUCCUCCCAAAGAAGCGCUGAGCCAUUCAAGCACGUAGCCCCGGCCGUUCAACGACGAAGCUACCGACCGUUCGUGAACACAACACCCCGGAUCCUGUUGCCCACCAUCAAGUUCAACUUCUGUUGAAUCCUGUAAAGGGAGACUUAUUGUGUUGAUCAUGGUGCUUGUCGCCAUUCACGAGGAAAGAUAGUCGGUCUUUGAACGGGUGAGUGACCUUGCUGUUGCUGGGAUGCUAUUCAACAUGGGGAAUUGCUAUCCCUUGAGGUGCAGUGUAGCGAGAUAUAUGCUGCUGCCACUUUUGGAUUUAUUGUUGAGAUGGUCGCUCAAGCUCAAUAUUGAUUAGUCCUUCCCUAGAUCUUUCCCUACAUGCUUUGUAGGUCAUCAGUAAGAACAAAAAGUAUGCCUCUAAGUUGUCUGUGUUUAUUCCACAAAAGAAAUUAGUAGGACUGCACACGGUCGACUAUUCUUGACCAGUUUCUAUAGUAAUUUGUAUGGCUGACAAUUUUCAGCAGUAAUUAACAUGGCUGCAGUCAACUGUGUCUGAUUUCCA
Long non-coding RNA from Triticum urartu, 1329 nucleotides. RefSeq lists it as uncharacterized. NCBI's taxonomy places the organism in Eukaryota, Viridiplantae, Streptophyta, Magnoliopsida, Poales, Poaceae. The record is from RefSeq and is a predicted model, not a curated record.